This 62-nucleotide transfer RNA is filed under the name Mooreobdella quaternaria. RNAcentral's name for it is "tRNA-Asn". The record is from RNAcentral. Lineage: Eukaryota; Metazoa; Annelida; Clitellata; Hirudinida; Erpobdellidae.
UAAAUGAAAGCAAAUUAAUUGCAUCUAACUGUUAAUUAGAAGUAAGUCUUAGACUCAUUUAG